AUGAGUUGGCUGAGGGCACAAGGAGCAAUGUCAGUCUUUGAGGAAAACGGAAACAGAGGAAUGCAAAGGGGGAAGGAGGACAAAGAAAGAGAGGAAAAAUCACCUACUAUAUGCCCUUCCUGCAUGUUCUGUAUUCAUCUGGUGAGUUAUGAAAAGGAAGGAAGAAGAUCUGAAGGGAGGUGGGACCAAGAACAGGAUGAGGAGCACAUUCUGGAGGAUUCGAGAACUCUCACACAGUACCUAGAGAGUCAUGGAUCCAAGACAAAGAACUCCUCCGCCCUUCCCUUCUGCCUCAAGCAUUGUUUGUUUUUAGUGAAAUGGCCCCAUCCUAUCAAUCAUGUAUCCUUUACUUUUCAGUUUUACUUUUCAGUUUCUUCCUGAGUUGGGAAGGAAGAUUUUUAUUUCUGUUUCGGUUUCUAUGGCACUAUCAAGAGAAAAUCACGUGAAUGUGAGGUUUGAGAUUCUCUGAUUCCUUUUUUUUUUUUUUUCCCCGAGACAAAGUCUCACUCUUUCACCCAGGCUGGAGUGCAGUGGUGCAAUCUUGGCUCACUGCAACCUCUGCCUCCCGGGUUCAGGCGAUUCUCCUGCCUCAGCCUCCCAAGUAGCUGGGAUUACAGACACGUGCUACCACACCUGGCUAAUUUUUGUAUUUCUAGUAGGGACAGGGUUUUACCUUGUUGGCCAGGCUGGUCUUGAACUCCUGAUCUCAAGUGAUCCACCUGCCUCAGCCUCCCAAAGCUCUGGGAUUACAGGCAUGAGCCACCAUGCCUGGCUGAGAUUCCCCAAUUCUGAGGUCAGCGUGCAAUGCUGGUAUAACCCAGGAAUGCCUUCUAUUGCAAUUUUAAAUAGAUAAAGUCAGAUCAUUGGAAGUAUUUUAUUUAGGACUGCAGUAAAUGGGAAAAUAAGAUUCAGAACUAACUGGCCUAACACACUGUGUGCAAACAACCAAUUGAGUGUAAGGUAGCCUUGGGUUAUUUUAAGUGAGUUAAGGAAGCCCAAGUCUCAUCUUCAGUACCAUCUUGGUUAAAGCUAACCACACACUCAACCAAAAUGCUCGGGAUGGAUAGACAAUCUCCCCCAAUCCCCCCCAAAAAACUGCUAAGGCCACAGGCAAGGUCUGAAGCUGAACCCACCUUAGUAUCCUCAGCUCCCUUGUGCUGGAUCUGCACCUACUUAAGGUAGUUUUAGAGGGACCAUUGGCUGCAGGAAAGCAAGUGGAGAUGGGACACACACAGGCACGGAAAGCACUGUGUGGCCAUAAUAAUGAGGUAGCUACCAUGAGUAGCCAGAGAGUCCCAAACAAAGCCAGGAGCUCUGUUUAUGCAUCAUACUUCGAGCAAGUUGUUUAACAGUUUGCCAUAAACUAUAAAAUGGGAUAUAGGACUGGAGGACUUAACAUGUGCUAAAUAUGUACAAAAAGCAUAUAACUGAAAAGACUGGGAAAUCGUUGGCUAUUCAGGGCUGCAGACAUUACUUAAAUUUACCAAGGAAUUGCUUUUACUUUGAAGGGAGCACUGGAAACAAAGCUCAGUCUCCUUUGCAGUAUCCUGUACUCUGUGUGUGUGUGUGUGUGUGUGUGUGUGUGUGUGUGUGUGUGUGUGUGUAGCUGCAUGAAUAAUUAAGCUGCUCCUGCUAUCUGUUCUCAUACCAAUAGCCUUUGGUAAUACACUGAUCGCAUGUUUAAACUGAUCCAGUGGGAACCAUUUUGUGGAGCAUCAGUUCUAGCUUUCCAGGUGGCUUAUAGAAAUAACCUGCCUGGCAGUCCUGGUGCCUAGAGGAUGCCCUGGUGCCCAGAGGAUGCCCAGCAACUGGU
Macaca fascicularis (crab-eating macaque) is the source of this 1813-nucleotide long non-coding RNA. Lineage: Eukaryota; Metazoa; Chordata; Mammalia; Primates; Cercopithecidae. The record is from Ensembl.